UGGGGAAUUUUGCACAAUGGGGGAAACCCUGAUGCAGCGACGCCGCGUGAUUUAGAAGGCCUUCGGGUUGUAAAAAUCUUUUCUAUGGGAAGAAAAUGACAGUACCAUAGGAAUAAGGACCGGCUAAUUACGUGCCAGCAGCCGCGGUAAUACGUAAGGUCCGAGCGUUGUCCGGAAUCAUUGGGCGUAAAGGGUACGUAGGCGGGUAAGCAAGUUAGAAGUGAAAUCCUAUAGCUCAACUAUAGUAAGCUUUUAAAACUGCUCAUCUUGAGGUAUGGAAGGGAAAGUGGAAUUCCUAGUGUAGCGGUGAAAUGCACAGAUAUUAGGAGGAAUGCCGGUGGCGAAGGCGACUUUCUGGCCAUAACCUGACGCUGAGGUACGAAAGCGUGGGUAGCAAACAGG
RNAcentral lists this ribosomal RNA (402 nucleotides) under bacterium. Its description in RNAcentral is "partial 16S ribosomal RNA". It matches the Rfam family "Bacterial small subunit ribosomal RNA", at positions 355 to 776 of the family's 1533-position model. The record is from RNAcentral.